GCCUCAACCUCUGUGGUGCAGGAUCAGCUGUCAAGAAACAUUGUCUGGGAUGAGCUGUUUGGAUUCAGAUUAUCAACCAAACGUUAAUUAUUCUUCUGGCUAAAGCCUCAGCAGCUAGGCUGGAUUAUAUAAAUGCAAAGAAAGAAUAAUACUGGAAACCUGGAGCUGGCUGAUUAAGAGACAUUUGAAGAGCUCUGUCCAAAUAACUACCUUCCUGACCGAAGGACCCCAAGGAGCCAAGAGGAGCUGCUCGUGUUUCUGCCCUGUACGCAGAAUGAAAUGCAGAAAUUGAGGUAGAGCUGGAAGAGGGGAAGACGAAACAUCCCAACUUAAUUUCUUUAUAAUGGUCUGAUGGAGCGUCUGACAUGUGAAUCCUCACUGUCCCUGCUCUCCAGCCCGACUUCAAUGACUGCUUUUAACAAACAGACUCCUCCAGACAGGGAAAUUCUGUUACCUUGUCCAAACCUGCUCAAAUACUUUGAGCUCCCAAGUUCUACCUUUAGCAGAGGGUUUUGGCAAAAUGCAGGAGAGGCGCAUACUUUGAACUGGAGGUAGACUGAAAAACAGCCCCUUGAUCAUCAGUGAUGUCUUUAUCCACUGAACCAGAACUGGGUUUCGUAAACCCUUACACCCAUAAUUUCUUGAUCUCCUCUCAAGGUGCCAGCCAGCCCCAGUGAAGCAGGUUGCUUUCAAAAAGUUCAUACCCCUGCGCCCCUGCAGCCCUGCAAUAUGCAUUAUAAGUAGCUUAUCAGUGACCACAGAUUAGUGGGGUGAUAUUCCCUGUGGAAAUCUUUGAGCUUCCACAGCCUUCUCUCAUUACAGAGGCUAUCAGGUCUGCAUUGCUUUGCGUUCUCUCACUGAGGGGACUUUACAUUAACUCUAUUCAGGGUUCCUGAGCUAUGUCUCUGAGCAGAUCGCAGGCAGAAUAGGAUGCUUAUUCCCAGUGUCUGGCAGGGAAGGGGAGCCCUGCCAUGGCAGCUAGGUGCCCCAGUGUCCCCAAGCCAGGGCUGGCAGCUGAGGCAGGGUGGGCUCCAGCCAAGCACACCCCACACAGGAGCUUUGCUCCCUGUGACUUCUGCCCAAAUGCAUAAGUCCUAACUGGAAAUUAAAAGCCUGUCCCAUCGUAGUCUUCAGGGGUGAAUUUCAGAGGCUCCAACGCUCGCUAAUUAACAGGAUCUGUCCUUCCUCUCCUUGUUGCACUAGCUGUGGUAUUUUUAAAGCUUUUUAUUAAAAAUUAAUUUCUUUA
Molecule: long non-coding RNA, 1246 nt
Organism: Pogoniulus pusillus (Red-fronted tinkerbird)
Lineage: Eukaryota; Metazoa; Chordata; Aves; Piciformes; Lybiidae
Exons: 3
Source: RefSeq, a predicted model, not a curated record